Molecule: ribosomal RNA, 308 nt
Filed under: uncultured bacterium
Lineage: Bacteria
Description: partial 16S ribosomal RNA
Rfam family: Bacterial small subunit ribosomal RNA
Source: RNAcentral
GAGACAGCAGUAGCCGCGGUAAUACAGAGGGUGCGAGCGUUAAUCGGAUUUACUGGGCGUAAAGCGUGCGUAGGCGGCUUCUUAAGUCGGAUGUGAAAUCCCUGAGCUUAACUUAGGAAUUGCAUUCGAUACUGGGAAGCUAGAGUAUGGGAGAGGAUGGUAGAAUUCCAGGUGUAGCGGUGAAAUGCGUAGAGAUCUGGAGGAAUACCGAUGGCGAAGGCAGCCAUCUGGCCUAAUACUGACGCUGAGGUACGAAAGCAUGGGGAGCAAACAGGAUUAGAUACCCGCGUAGUCCCUGUCUCUUAUAC